This 367-nucleotide transfer-messenger RNA is filed under the name Enterobacteriaceae (enterobacteria). RNAcentral describes it as "SoEE sp009829945 Standard tmRNA". It matches the Rfam family "transfer-messenger RNA". Rfam says of the family: Bacterial tmRNA, also known as 10Sa RNA or SsrA, is named for its dual tRNA and mRNA-like properties. Its role is to liberate the mRNA from a stalled ribosome. Lineage: Bacteria; Pseudomonadati; Pseudomonadota; Gammaproteobacteria; Enterobacterales. RNAcentral also lists the same sequence under 1 other name. The record is from RNAcentral.
GGGGCUGAUUUUGGAUUUGACGGAAUAUUCAAAAUCUAAGGUGCAUGUCGAGGUACGGUAGGCCUCGUUAACAAACCGUAAAAAAUAGUCGCAAACGACAAAAACUACGCUUUAGCAGCUUAAUAAGCUGUGGAAGUCCUUUCUAACUAUUUUUUCUCUUGAAAUAGUAAUUUGAAAGGUCAAUCUUUAAAGAGAUAAUGCUAAUUUAACUUUACCUAAAAGUUAUUAGUGUGAAAUUUAUAUUUAGGUUAGUUUUAUAGAAGCGCGUCUUGCCACUUCUAUAAGAUGAAAACAAUGCUAGACUAAACAUGUAGUGCUUAAGACGUAGAAGUUUCGGACGCGGGUUCAAAUCCCGCCAGCUCCACCA